This 468-nucleotide ribosomal RNA is filed under the name uncultured bacterium. RNAcentral describes it as "partial 16S ribosomal RNA". It matches the Rfam family "Bacterial small subunit ribosomal RNA", at positions 28 to 507 of the family's 1533-position model. The record is from RNAcentral.
GACGAACGCUGGCGGCGUGCUUAACACAUGCAAGUCGAACGGACAGGCCCUGCUUUUGUGGGUUGCUCGAGUGGCGCACGGGUGAGUAACACGUGAGUAACCUGCCCUUGACUUUGGGAUAACUUUAGGAAACUGGGGCUAAUAUCGGAUAGGAGCUCUUGCUGCAUGGUGGGGGUUGGAAAGUUUCGGCUGUUGGGGAUGGACUCGCGGCUUAUCAGCUUGAUGGUGGGGUAGUGGCUUACCAAGGUUUUGACGGGUAGCCGGCCUGAGAGGGUGACCGGCCACAUUGGGACUAAGAGACGGCCCAGACGCCUACGGGAGGCAGCAGUGGGGAAUAUUGCACAAUGGGCGGAAGCCUGAUGCAGCAACGCCGCGUGCGGGAUGACGGCCUUCGGGUUGUAAACCGCUUUCGCCUGUGACGAAGCGUGAGUGACGGUAAUGGGUAAAGAAGCACCGGCUAACUACGUG